GACGUACUCCCUCCGUCCGGAAAUACUUGUCAUUAAAAUGGACAAAAGAUACUUGUCAUCAAAAUGGACAAAAGAGGAUGUAUCCUUUUUGUCCAUUUUAAUGACAAGUAUUUCCGGACGGAGGGAAUACUAC
Non-coding RNA from Triticum aestivum (bread wheat), 133 nucleotides. The record is from Rfam. Lineage: Eukaryota; Viridiplantae; Streptophyta; Magnoliopsida; Poales; Poaceae.